This 63-nucleotide transfer RNA is filed under the name Fasciola hepatica (liver fluke). RNAcentral's name for it is "tRNA-Gly". The record is from RNAcentral. Lineage: Eukaryota; Metazoa; Platyhelminthes; Trematoda; Plagiorchiida; Fasciolidae.
GUUUCGGUAGUAUAAGUUAGUAUUUCGUCUUUCCAAGUCGGGGGUCUAGAUUUAGUCGAUGCA